Molecule: ribosomal RNA, 460 nt
Filed under: uncultured bacterium
Lineage: Bacteria
Description: partial 16S ribosomal RNA
Rfam family: Bacterial small subunit ribosomal RNA
Source: RNAcentral
CCUACGGGUGGCAGCAGUGAGGAAUAUUGGUCAAUGGGCGCGAGCCUGAACCAGCCAAGUAGCGUGAAGGAUGACUGCCCUACGGGUUGUAAACUGCUUUUAUAAGGGAGUAAAGUGAGGCACGUGUGCCUGUUUGUAUGUACUGUAUGAAUAAGGAUCGGCUAACUCCGUGCCAACAGCCGCGGUAAUACGGAGGAUCCGAGCGUUAUCCGGAUUUAUUGGGUUUAAAGGGAGCGUAGAUGGGUUGUUAAGUCAGUUGUGAAAGUUUGCGGCUCAACCGUAAAAUUGCAUUUGAUACUGGCAGUCUUGAGUACAGUUGAGGUAGGCGGAAUGCGUGGUGUAGCGGUGAAAUGCUUAGAUAUCACGAAGAACUCCGAUUGCGAAGGCAGCUUACUAAACUGCCACUGACGUUGAGGCUCGAAAGUGUGGGGAGCAAACAGGAUUAGAUACCCUUGUAGUC